Molecule: ribosomal RNA, 415 nt
Filed under: uncultured bacterium
Lineage: Bacteria
Description: bacterial SSU rRNA
Rfam family: Bacterial small subunit ribosomal RNA
Source: RNAcentral
UAUUGCACAAUGGGGGAAACCCUGAUGCAGCGACGCCGCGUGAGUGAAGAAGCGUUUCGGCGCGUAAAGCUCUGUCAGCGGGGAAGAAACACGGUUCGCGAGAGCCGCGGACGGUACCCGACCAAGAAGCCCCGGCCAACUACGUGCCAGCAGCCGCGGUAAUACGUAGGGGGCAAGCGUUAUCCGGAUUUACUGGGUGUAAAGGGAGCGUAGACGGCAGCACAAGUCUGGAGUGAAAUGCCGGGGCUUAACCCCGGAACUGCUUUGGAAACUGUGCAGCUAGAGUGCAGGAGAGGUAAGUGGAAUUCCUAGUGUAGCGGUGAAAUGCGUAGAUAUUAGGAGGAACACCAGUGGCGAAGGCGGCUUACUGGACUGUAACUGACGUUGAGGCUCGAAAGCGUGGGGAGCAAACAGG